GGCUCCAAUAUUAUGUUACGACCUAUUCUAACUGAUGGAGCUAUUAAGGUGGGUCAAAAGAGGGGAAGGUCACUUGUUGAAUUGGAGGAUGGUGGGCAGCUCAAGAAGAAAGUACGGCUUGGUACUCCAGCUACACAGUGGAUCUCAGUCUAUAAUUUCAGAUUGUCAAUGAAGCAGAGGUAUCACUACAAUGUAAUGGAUUCAAGAAUUGACCAGCAUGUGGUGAAAGGGAAGGAAGAUGGUUUGUAUAUUAGCUGUGUGGCCUCAUCUGCAAAUUUGUGGGCCAUUAUUAUGGACGCGGGAACAGGGUUUACAUCACAGGUUUAUGAAUUAUCUCCCUUUUUCUUACACAAGGAGUGGAUAAUGGAACAAUGGGACAAGAAUUACUAUAUCACUUCUGUUGCUGGCACAGCUAAUGGCAGUGCCUUGGUUGUUAUGUCAAAGGGUACUCCUUAUACUCAACAAUCCUACAAAGUUAGUGAUGUAUUUCCUUUCAAAUGGAUCAAUAAAAAGUGGAAAGAAGGCUUCUCUGUUACCUCAAUGACCACUGCAGGUAGCAAGUGGGGCAUUGUAAUGUCCAGGAAUGCAGGUUAUCCUAGUCAGGUUGUUGAGCUUGAUUUCCUCUAUCCCAGUGAGGGGAUCCAUAGAAGGUGGGAGAAUGGAUAUCGAAUAACCUCAACUGCUGCUACAGCAGAUCAAGCUGCAUUCAUACUUAGUGCUCCCAAGAGGAAAUCACAAGAUGUGGCACAGGAAACCUUGCGGACUUCUGCAUUUCCUAGUACUCAUGUCAAGGAUAAAUGGUCAAAGAAUCUAUACAUUGCAUCCAUCUGCUAUGGGAGAACAGUAUCAUGAAGUUGGGACUUUGGAAGAAAAACCACACAUGCAAACAAGCAGGAGGUUGGUGGUUUGCGUGGCAUCACCAUUGUGGACUUUUUAGAGGAUUCAAAAGUCUUGGAGU
Molecule: unclassified non-coding RNA, 958 nt
Filed under: Hevea brasiliensis (rubber tree)
Lineage: Eukaryota; Viridiplantae; Streptophyta; Magnoliopsida; Malpighiales; Euphorbiaceae
Source: RNAcentral